This 358-nucleotide ribosomal RNA is filed under the name uncultured bacterium. RNAcentral describes it as "bacterial SSU rRNA". It matches the Rfam family "Bacterial small subunit ribosomal RNA", at positions 28 to 383 of the family's 1533-position model. The record is from RNAcentral.
GACGAACGCUGGCGGCGUGCUUAACACAUGCAAGUCGAACGAUGAAGGGGAGCUUGCUCCCUGGAUUAGUGGCGAACGGGUGAGUAACACGUGAGCAACCUGCCCCUAACUCUGGGAUAACGCAGCGAAAGCUGUGCUAAUACCGGCAUACGAUCUAUGGAUGAAAGCGGGGGGACCGUAAGGCCUCGCGCGAUUUGGAGCGGCCGAUAUCAGAUUAGGUAGUUGGUGGGGUAAAGGCUCACCAAGCCAACGAUCUGUAGCUGGUCUGAGAGGACGACCAGCCACACUGGAACUGAGACACGGUCCAGACUCCUACGGGAGGCAGCAGUGGGGAAUUUUUGGACAAUGGACGCAAGUC